GACGAACGCUGGCGGCGUGCUUAACACAUGCAAGUCGAGCGGUAAGGCCCUUUCGGGGGUACACGAGCGGCGAACGGGUGAGUAACACGUGGGUGACCUGCCUCUAGCUCUGGGAUAAGCCUGGGAAGCUGGGUCUAAUACCGGAUAUGACCUCGCGGUGCAUGUUGCGGGGUGGAAAGCCUUGUGCGGCUAGGGAUGGGCCCGCGGCCUAUCAGCUUGUUGGUGGGGUGANGGCCUACCAAGGCGACGACGGGUAGCCGGCCUGAGAGGGCGACCGGCCACACUGGGACUGAGACACGGCCCAGACUCCUACGGGAGGCAGCAGUGGGGAAUCUUGCGCAAUGGGCGAAAGCCUGACGCAGCGACGCCGCGUGGGGAUGACGGCCU
RNAcentral lists this ribosomal RNA (387 nucleotides) under uncultured bacterium. RNAcentral describes it as "bacterial SSU rRNA". It matches the Rfam family "Bacterial small subunit ribosomal RNA", at positions 28 to 417 of the family's 1533-position model. The record is from RNAcentral.